RNA transcript from Cervus elaphus (red deer), 1098 nucleotides. It is a transcript of the gene named NADH dehydrogenase [ubiquinone] flavoprotein 2, mitochondrial-like, with no coding region annotated. The record is from RefSeq and is a predicted model, not a curated record. The transcript has a single exon. NCBI's taxonomy places the organism in Eukaryota, Metazoa, Chordata, Mammalia, Artiodactyla, Cervidae.
CUCCGGUGCGCGCACGCCGUGCGUGCCGACCGCUCGGGACCGUGCCGGUGUGGCCCGGAGCCCCGCAGUUUGGCCAGCCAUGUUCCUCUCCGCGGCGCUACGGGCCCGCACAGCGGGCCUCGCCGCCCAGUGGGGAAAACAUAUAAGAAAUCUGCAUAAGACAGCUGUUCAGAAUGGAGCUGGAGGAUCCUUAUUUGUGCACAGAGAUACUCCUGAGAAUAACCCAGAAACUCCAUUUGAUUUCACACCAGAAAACUAUAGAGGAUAUAGAUAUAUAUCUAUAUAUAUAUAUAGGAUAUAGAGGAUAGAGGCCAUUGUGAAAAACUACCCGGAAGGGCAUAAAGCAGCAGCUGUGCUUCCAGUUCUGGAUUUUUAGCCCAGAGACAGAAUGGAUGGCUGCCCAUCUCUCCUAUGAACAAGGUUGCAGAAAUUUUAAAAGUACCUCCAAUGAGAGUGUAUGAAGUAGCAACUUUUUAUACAAUGUAUAAUCGAAAGCCUGUUGGAAAGUAUCACAUUCAAGUCUGCACUACUACGCCUUGCAUGCUCCGAAACUCAGCCAGCAUACUGGAAGCCAUUCAGAAAAAACUUGGAAUAAAGGUUGGAGAGACUACACCUGACAAACUUUUCACUCUUAUAGAAGUGGAAUGUUUAGGGGCCUGUGUAAAUGCACCAGUGGUUCAAAUGAAUGACAACUACUAUGAGGAUCUGACACCUACAGAUAUUGAAGAAAUUAUUGAUGAACUCAAGGCUGGCAAAAUCCCCAAACCUGGGCCAAGGAGUGGACGCUUCUCCUGUGAGCCAGCUGGAGGUCUUACCUCUUUGACUGAACCACCGAAAGGACCUGGGUUUGGUGUGCAAGCAGGUCUUUUAUUUAUAUCCAGCUGUAAAUAUGUCAGUGGAGAAAUAUGAAUCUCCUAUCUACCUAAACUUUUUAUAUUACUUGUUCAUUUCCAUCUGUGUACACCUUGCUUGUAACCUAGCAACUUACAGCUGUUAAGUAUCAUGUCAGAACUUCAGAGCAUCAUUUUCAACAGCCUGUUCACUUAUCAAUAUUAGGGUACUGUGAAAUAAAAAUUCUGUCAAAUUUCAAGUAAAAAA